GGGGAUGAAAGGAUUCUAUUAAGAGAAUCGCUGUUCUCAUAUGCUAUCUGGGAGGUGUUUGUGGCUUCCAUAAUCAAUUACAAACAACAACAAAUGCUAACGCAAGAAUCGGAGGUUUAGCUGUUUUAAAAGCUUCUUUUAAAAAAGUUCUAACUCCUGCUUACGCCUAGUCUAACUAAGCUUAAGCUGUAGCCUUCCCUACGGGAAUGAGUGUCGGAUGACCUGCUACAAAAAUGAUAUAGUUUCGUCUUAGAAUUAUGUCAUUAUUCAUAAGACCAUUGUCUAGAUUUUAUAAUUAUUUUGUAUAGACAUUGUAUUAAAAAUAAUUCUUAUGUAAGUUUUUUGUUAAUUUUCAAUUUAUAUAAGUACCAAAAUUAACUAUGAUAGUAGAAGUAUUUGGGUAGCCUCUUAAGACACGAGUUCAAUUCUCGUCAUCUCCACCA
This 443-nucleotide transfer-messenger RNA is filed under the name Patescibacteria group. RNAcentral describes it as "JALNXF01 sp023230505 X1 Standard tmRNA". It matches the Rfam family "transfer-messenger RNA". Rfam says of the family: Bacterial tmRNA, also known as 10Sa RNA or SsrA, is named for its dual tRNA and mRNA-like properties. Its role is to liberate the mRNA from a stalled ribosome. The record is from RNAcentral. RNAcentral also lists the same sequence under 1 other name.